AUUGAACGCUGGCGGCAUGCUUUACACAUGCAAGUCGAACGGCAGCGCGGGCUUCGGCCUGGCGGCGAGUGGCGAACGGGUGAGUAAUACAUCGGAACGUGCCCAGUAGUGGGGGAUAGCUCGGCGAAAGCCGGAUUAAUACCGCAUACGACCUGAGGGUGAAAGCGGGGGAUCUUCGGACCUCGCGCGAUUGGAGCGGCCGAUGGCAGAUUAGCUAGUUGGUGGGGUAAAGGCCUACCAAGGCGACGAUCUGUAGCUGGUCUGAGAGGACGACCAGCCACACGGGGACUGAGACACGGCCCAGACUCCUACGGGAGGCAGCAGUGGGGAAUUUUGGACAAUGGGCGAAAGCCUGAUCCAGCAAUGCCGCGUGUGUGAUGAAGGCCUUCGGGUUGUAAAGCACUUUUGGCGGGAACGAAAAGGACUGUGCCAAUACCACGGUUCGAUGACGGUACCCGCAGAAUAAGCACCGGCUAACUACGUG
This 484-nucleotide ribosomal RNA is filed under the name uncultured bacterium. RNAcentral describes it as "partial 16S ribosomal RNA". It matches the Rfam family "Bacterial small subunit ribosomal RNA", at positions 29 to 507 of the family's 1533-position model. The record is from RNAcentral.